UAUCUUGGGACAAAGUGCCAGAGCCUGCAGUCUGCUGUCUUAGGCAUUGAAAUUGUGAAGUCAUUUGUAAUUUAUGGCACAAGAAUAUUAUUAGAUAUAAUGAAGAGUAAAUAAAGCAAUUUGAAAGGAAGAUCCAGAAUGAACCACCAUAGGCAGAGAAUGGUGCUGGAUUCCGGGAUGCCAUAAGUUGAUUGUAGUGUGAAGUUUGGUAUUUGAGGUCAGACAGAUGAUGUUAUUGCCUUUCAGCAUUGUUGGCAAUGCUUUGUGAAGACGUGUG
This 277-nucleotide long non-coding RNA is filed under the name Monodelphis domestica (gray short-tailed opossum). RNAcentral describes it as "lncRNA (ENSMODG00000042654.1)". Lineage: Eukaryota; Metazoa; Chordata; Mammalia; Didelphimorphia; Didelphidae. The record is from RNAcentral.